RNAcentral lists this transfer RNA (82 nucleotides) under Bacillus phage PBC2. Its description in RNAcentral is "tRNA-Leu". Lineage: Duplodnaviria; Heunggongvirae; Uroviricota; Caudoviricetes. The record is from RNAcentral.
UACGUAGGGAGAGACUCGAACUCUCACGACCGAAGUCAUGCGGGCUUAAACCGCAUGUGUCUGCCAAUUCCACCACCCACGC